RNAcentral lists this small RNA (132 nucleotides) under Morganella morganii. RNAcentral's name for it is "STAXI RNA". It matches the Rfam family "STAXI RNA", at positions 3 to 135 of the family's 153-position model. Lineage: Bacteria; Pseudomonadati; Pseudomonadota; Gammaproteobacteria; Enterobacterales; Morganellaceae. The record is from RNAcentral.
CUGUCAGUGACAGCAGCCAAAGCCAAUGUUUCCCGUGACCUGCAAGAAACGCCUUCGGGUGGUCACAUGCCAAUGUCAUUGUGGUCUGCAACUGACGCCUUCGGGUGACCGCGCUAUGCCGUAAAAACAACG